Molecule: ribosomal RNA, 932 nt
Filed under: Phomopsis sp. 11322
Lineage: Eukaryota; Fungi; Ascomycota; Sordariomycetes; Diaporthales; Diaporthaceae
Description: eukaryotic LSU rRNA
Rfam family: Eukaryotic large subunit ribosomal RNA (bases 336-932)
Source: RNAcentral
ACAUAAAUGAAUCAAAACUUUCAACAACGGAUCUCUUGGUUCUGGCAUCGAUGAAGAACGCAGCGAAAUGCGAUAAGUAAUGUGAAUUGCAGAAUUCAGUGAAUCAUCGAAUCUUUGAACGCACAUUGCGCCCUCUGGUAUUCCGGAGGGCAUGCCUGUUCGAGCGUCAUUUCAACCCUCAAGCCUGGCUUGGUGAUGGGGCACUGCUUCUUACCCAAGGAGCAGGCCCUGAAAUUCAGUGGCGAGCUCGCCAGGACCCCGAGCGCAGUAGUUAAACCCUCGCUCUGGAAGGCCCUGGCGGUGCCCUGCCGUUAAACCCCCAACUUCUGAAAAUUUGACCUCGGAUCAGGUAGGAAUACCCGCUGAACUUAAGCAUAUCAAUAAGCGGAGGAAAAGAAACCAACAGGGAUUGCCCUAGUAACGGCGAGUGAAGCGGCAACAGCUCAAAUUUGAAAUCUGGCUUCGGCCCGAGUUGUAAUUUGCAGAGGAUGCUUCUGGCGCGGUGCCUUCCGAGUUCCCUGGAACGGGACGCCACAGAGGGUGAGAGCCCCGUAUGGUCGGACACCAAGCCUGUGUGAAGCUCCUUCGACGAGUCGAGUAGUUUGGGAAUGCUGCUCUAAAUGGGAGGUAAAUCUCUUCUAAAGCUAAAUACCGGCCAGAGACCGAUAGCGCACAAGUAGAGUGAUCGAAAGAUGAAAAGCACCUUGAAAAGGGGGUUAAAUAGUACGUGAAAUUGUUGAAAGGGAAGCACUUAUGACCAGACUUGGGCCGGGCGGCUCAUCAGGGGUUCUCCCCUGUGCACUCCGCCCGGCACAGGCCAGCAUCGGUUCUCGUGGGGGGAUAAGACCGUCAGGAACGUAGCACCCUCCGGGGUGUGUUAUAGCCUGGCGGACGAUACCCCCGUGGGGACCGAGGUCCGCGCUCCGCAAGGA